AUGAAGGUAGCAGGAGAGUGGGGAAUAGCCCCCACACCGACGAGGCAAGUUUAGCUAAUUGAAACAUGGCUGAACCACUCUUUCAGGUGCCAAUUACGAUUGGCGUGGA
Molecule: non-coding RNA, 109 nt
Filed under: Shewanella benthica
Lineage: Bacteria; Pseudomonadati; Pseudomonadota; Gammaproteobacteria; Alteromonadales; Shewanellaceae
Description: Glycine sequence
Rfam family: Glycine riboswitch aptamer
About the family: This family represents the bacterial glycine riboswitch.
Source: RNAcentral